Molecule: long non-coding RNA, 655 nt
Organism: Mauremys reevesii (Reeves's turtle)
Lineage: Eukaryota; Metazoa; Chordata; Testudines; Geoemydidae
Exons: 4
Source: RefSeq, a predicted model, not a curated record
CAAACCCACGCGACCACUACGGAGUAAUGACAGCAGCUUUCUGCUCUGAAAGAUUUAUUUCGGGUUUCUUUCUCUCUCUUGUGUUGCUAUUCAACUCUCAGGGAGGAUGAGAAAGUGUUGUGAUUUCAAGGAAGUGGAGUCCUUAAGGUCCCUGAAAGAUUUCACAGCCUUGGAAACCUCACACACGGAGGAGACUAUUGGAGAGUCUUUGCAGGGCCAAAUCUUCAUCCACCAAUGGUAGAAUGAGUCAGGCUGCAUUUGAAGAUUGCCCUUGAAGAAUUGUGAAAAUACAAAUAAUAGAAGUAGCUGUUGAAAGAUUCCAGAUUUGUCAGCCUGGGAGACUCAAGCCUCCCAUCUAUCCACAAAACAAGUAUCACACAGGCAACAGCUUCCUCACCCGUCACGGGACCGCCUCAACGGAUGAAAAUGUAGUUGUGUUUUCUUGACAUAGUGCUUGGCGUUUCUGUCAACAAGAAUGCCAUUUCGGAUAGUAAAUUUUUCUGUAACUCAAAUUGGACGGAGAUGACCAAAUUCUUUUCACUGUCCACCAAACUGUCGGCAGAAGAUAACAGCUUUGGUUAACUGAGCCCUGGGUUGUAUUAGAACUUGACGCCUAGAAAAACUGAAAGGCUCUGAAUCCCCAUGCCAGCCCUCA